GAUGAACGCUGGAGGCGUGCCUAAUACAUGCAAGUCGAGCGAAGAGGGGACGGGUGAGUAACACGUGGAUAACCUCCUAUAAGACUGGGAUAAAUUCGGGAAACCGGAGGUAAACCGGAUCCUUAUAGAAGGAACCGCGCUGCAUUAGCUAGUGGGUAAGGUAACGGUUGACAAAGGCAACGAUGCAUAGCCGACCUGAGCGGGUGAUCGGCCCCACUGGAACUGAGACACGGUCCAGACUCCUACGUGAGGCAGCAGUAGGGAAUCUUCCGCAAUGGGCGAAAGCCUGAUGGAGCAACGCCGCUUGAGUGAUGAAGGUCGUCGGAUCGUAAAACUCUGUUAUUAGGGAAGCGGUACCUAAUCAGAAAGCCACGGCUAACUACGUGCCAGCAGCCGCGGUAAUAC
This 405-nucleotide ribosomal RNA is filed under the name uncultured bacterium. RNAcentral's name for it is "partial 16S ribosomal RNA". It matches the Rfam family "Bacterial small subunit ribosomal RNA", at positions 28 to 526 of the family's 1533-position model. The record is from RNAcentral.